CGUAGGGCGCAAGCGCUGUCCGGAAUAUUGGGCGUAAAGAGCUCGUAGGUGGCUUGUCGCGUCUGCCGUGAAAGCCCAUGGCUUAACUGUGGGUCUGCGGUGGAUACGGGCUGGCUAGAGGUAGGUAGGGGCAAGCGGAAUUCCUGGUGUAGCGGUGAAAUGCGCAGAUAUCAGGAGGAACACCGGUGGCGAAGGCGGCUUGCUGGGCCUUACCUGACGCUGAGGAGCGAAAGCGUGGGGAGCGAACAGGAUUAGAUACCCUGGUAGUCCACGCUGUAAACGUUGGGCGCUAGGUGUGGGGUCCUUCCACGGAUUCCGUGCCGUAGCUAACGCAUUAAGCGCCCCGCCUGGGGAGUACGGCCGCAAGGCUA
Molecule: ribosomal RNA, 371 nt
Filed under: uncultured organism
Description: bacterial SSU rRNA
Rfam family: Bacterial small subunit ribosomal RNA
Source: RNAcentral